This 80-nucleotide small RNA is filed under the name Microcebus murinus (gray mouse lemur). RNAcentral describes it as "Y RNA (ENSMICG00000042639.1)". Lineage: Eukaryota; Metazoa; Chordata; Mammalia; Primates; Cheirogaleidae. The record is from RNAcentral.
AACUUGUUAUAAACUAUGAGUUAUCAUCAAAAAGACUAGUUCAUUCCCCCCUCCUCACUACUGCACUUGACUAGUCUUAA